AUUGAACGCUGGCGGAAUGCUUUACACAUGCAAGUCGAGCGGCAGCGCGGGGCAACCUGGCGGCGAGCGGCGAACGGGUGAGUAAUACAUCGGAACGUGCCCAAUCGUGGGGGAUAACGUAGCGAAAGCUACGCUAAUACCGCAUACGAUCUAUGGAUGAAAGCGGGGGAUCGCAAGACCUCGCGCGAUUGGAGCGGCCGAUAUCAGAUUAGGUAGUUGGUGGGGUAAAAGCCUACCAAGCCUUCGAUCUGUAGCUGGUCUGAGAGGACGACCAGCCACACUGGAACUGAGACACGGUCCAGACUCCUACGGGAGGCAGCAGUGGGGAAUUUUGGACAAUGGGCGCAAGCCUGAUCCAGCAAUGCCGCGUGCAGGAUGAAGGCCUUC
RNAcentral lists this ribosomal RNA (387 nucleotides) under uncultured bacterium. Its description in RNAcentral is "bacterial SSU rRNA". It matches the Rfam family "Bacterial small subunit ribosomal RNA", at positions 30 to 419 of the family's 1533-position model. The record is from RNAcentral.